This 508-nucleotide ribosomal RNA is filed under the name uncultured bacterium. Its description in RNAcentral is "partial 16S ribosomal RNA". It matches the Rfam family "Bacterial small subunit ribosomal RNA", at positions 28 to 523 of the family's 1533-position model. The record is from RNAcentral.
GAUGAACGCUAGCUACAGGCUUAACACAUGCAAGUCGAGGGGAAACGAUAGAGAAAGCUUGCUUUUUCUCGGCGUCGACCGGCGCACGGGUGAGUAACGCGUAUCCAACCUGCCCAUCACGUGGGGAUAACCUCGCGAAAGUAAGACUAAUACCCAAUGACGUCUCUAGAAGACAUCUGAAAGUGACUAAAGAUUUAUCGGCGAUGGAUGGGGAUGUGUCUGAUUAGCUUGUUGGCGGGGUAACGGCCCACCAAGGCGACGAUCAGUAGGGGUUCUGAGAGGAAGGUCCCCCACAUUGGAACUGAGACACGGUCCAAACUCCUACGGGAGGCAGCAGUGAGGAAUAUUGGUCAAUGGACGAGAGUCUGAACCAGCCAAGUAGCGUGCAGGAUGACGGCCCUAUGGGUUGUAAACUGCUUUUAUAAGGGAAUAAAGUGAGUCUCGUGAGACUUUUUGCAUGUACCUUAUGAAUAAGGACCGGCUAAUUCCGUGCCAGCCGCCGCAGUAA